Molecule: ribosomal RNA, 326 nt
Filed under: uncultured Chloroflexota bacterium
Lineage: Bacteria; Bacillati; Chloroflexota
Description: bacterial SSU rRNA
Rfam family: Bacterial small subunit ribosomal RNA
Source: RNAcentral
GAUGAACGCUGGCGGCGUGCCUAAUACAUGCAAGUCGAACGGGGAGUUUUGCUUCGGUAGAACUCUUAGUGGCGAACGGGUGAGUAACGCGUUGGUGACCUACCCCGAAGUGUGGGAUAACAGUUCGAAAGGACUGCUAAUACCGCAUGAGGAUGGAGAGAUUAGAAGCUCUCUAUCGAAAGGUGCAAACCGCUUUGGGAGGGGCCUGCGACCCAUCAGCUAGUUGGUAGGGUAAAAGCCUACCAAGGCGACGACGGGUAGGGGACCUGAGAGGGUGACCCCCCACACUGGCACUGAAACACGGGCCAGACACCUACGGGUGGCUG